Columba livia (rock pigeon) is the source of this 2217-nucleotide long non-coding RNA. RefSeq lists it as uncharacterized. The transcript has 4 exons. The record is from RefSeq and is a predicted model, not a curated record. Lineage: Eukaryota; Metazoa; Chordata; Aves; Columbiformes; Columbidae.
GCUGCGGCGCGGCGGUGACGCGCGCGUGGCUGAGCCCUUCCGCCGCGCGCGGAGGGUGCGUGAGGUGGUGCUCGCGGAGCCCCCUCAGCGCGGCGGGUCCGGGACGGGGCGAAGCCGCCGGGAGCGCCGGAGUGCGGGACGCAGAGGAGGCCUCUCUGUGCCUUUGUCUGGGGGUAUCUGAAUUUUGGGCAUAAGAAUGGUCUUCUCAGAGCUUUUACUGCUUCAGAAAGGAAGCCAAUGAACCAACAGAAAAAGCUAGUAUCCGAGUUUCUUCAGCUGCUUCAAUGAAUUCCUACAUCUGCCUCUAGAACCCUGCAGAAGCAGUAGCUGCACUCCUAGGACUGGGCUAAUGACAGAGGUUUCCCCCUGGGUCCUCGGGUUCUGCUUGAGCAUGGAGUCUGAUGUUCCAUCAUUUCUGAGUCGCUGUGAAUCCCUGUCACCAAAGAGAUUUUCUUCUGCGCUGAAGCCCUGGCUCCCAAAAACCCACUGGACUUACCAGGAAAUCCAGUUGUUUCAGAAGAGAGCUAUCAAGUCAUGGUUCAAAAAAUAGUUUUGAACCACUGGAAAGACCAGUUUAAAUGAAGGAUUACAGAUGGAAGGAGGAACGGAAGAAAGGAAGGAGGAAUGGAAGAAAGAAAGAAACCACCACAAAUAACUACAGCAAAACCAGACCACAGACAAUCCAGACAAAGAAAAACAACAGAAAUUCUCUUCAAGGUUGCUGUGGUGCAAGAAACCUCCAUCUUGUUUGGAAUCACCUUUCUCUGGAAGCAAAAAUAUUAUGGAAAUUAUAGGCAGUUCCCACCGGGAACGAAGUUCUGCAAAUGUGCAUUCAUCCUGCAGCAGACAUAAAAUACAGGAUGGAAUCAGUCUAUUUCAAUUGAUCCAGAAAUGUGUUUGGUUUUUUUUUUGUUUUAUUUUGUUUGUUUUUUUUAAUCAAUUUUGGCUUUUCCUUAUUCAUAUCCAACAAAGGGAGGUUUGAGGGACCAAGAAAUAAAAUCAUAUAAGAAUAUAGCUAUUCCAGUCAGUCCUUUUUCUCUUCAAUGACUUUGCCUAUAGGCUUCCUACACAAGAAGUCCAACAGGGCUGGAAAACAAGAUCCACGUCUUUAGAACCCUAGCCCUACAUCUUUACCCAAUGGAACAUAUUUUGGGUGAAAGAGGCAUCAUGAGAAAUAAGUGGCAAUGCUGCCAAGUAGCUUCCAGCUGCUAUGAUAUGGCAGUCUUUCUGCUUCUUAGUAGCUAGCUUAUAUAAAUAACGGUCUGAUUUGAAAGGCUCUUCAUUGUGGAUCUGCUUAAUGUUUUGAAUUUGUAUUUGCUAAAUGCAGAGUAUAUUCCUUCUCACAUGAGGACAUAUUUGAAAGCACUAAAGAGAGUCAUUUAAAAGAAACUAUAAUACUCCUUGCAAGCCUUAUACUCUUUGCAAUAGCCUGAACACUGUAACAUUUAUACAGAUAGAGACAGCUGCAGUCCCUGCCAGACACAGUUUUAUGUAAGAACAGCAAAUGAGAAGAACUGAAAAAAAUAAAAAGGAACAUACUAAAGUUUAAUACUUGUGGUUUGGUGUUCCUAGUUCCAGUUUUCCUCCAAAUUAUUUGGAAACCUACCCCUUUCACCUCCUUUGAAAGAAAUGGAGUUAAGAAUCUCCAGGGACUUUCCUCUUGGUUUGAUUUCUGGAAGUUAUAAGAAUACCAAAGUAGCUUAGAGAGACUUACAGAAAGGAGUUAGUGGCCAAAGGGUCACUUUUUCAUUUAUGUACUGAACAAGAAAGUUCCUACUGGAAUGGAUCAGAUAUUAACUUAUCUCCCUAGAAGAGGAAGGAUCCUGCAAUAAUUGUAUUAGGGAGCAUUAGAUCCAUUGCAGUGAUUUCAAGAGACUCUUCAUGGCUUGUACUGGAUGCACUCUGCACGAGAGAGUGUCUCCCCAGACUCACUCACCAAAGGUUUCUGUAUCCCUGGGAGGUCCUGAAAAGUGAUUUGGCCCCAAUCCCUUGUCUGUGACCACGUUACAAAACUGGUUCUACCCAUUUAAAGAUUCUCACUUUACAAACACAUUUGAAGUGGUAGAGAGACAUCACAAUUUGUUAUUUAUGGCAAGUAGCAAAAGGUAAGUCUUUUCUACUCUUCAUUCAUUUCCCACAUGCAUACCCAUACAGAUCUCCUCUUGUAUCUCGUAGGUUCAAGGCUGCCAGAGCUUAAUAAAGAACCCAUAAAGAAAA